GGAGACCAAAUCAGAGGAAUACGACAGAAGAAGAUGGAGGAGGAAAGGCCCCUAAAUGGCAAGAAGAAAAACGAAGGUUCUGGGACUAACCUAGAUCACUCUGAAGGAUGCAGAGGGGCGAGGACAGGGAUGACUCGAAGGACGCCUAGGGCCAAAGAAGACGCCAAGGAGGGUCAGGGCUCUCGAAGAAAAGGCGGACACCGAUAGAACUUUCAGGCGGAAUAGGGCCUCUGAAGGCGGAAGGGCGGAUUUAAAUAGGCCCUGAGAUCCGGCGUAAUGACGAUUGCGAAUCCCCUCUGGCCGGUCUCUUUUCGCCGCGUGUCCCACUCACCACAGCGGGUGGUUAAAAAGUGACAGACGGCUGACAGUGCCUUUAUUGCGCCACGUCUUGAGCACCGUUCCGCUGCAGGUUCCAAAAGAGCCUCUUCGGAUCGCCUCGAUUUGAAAAGAUUCCGGCGCACGCGCAUUAAAUGCCAAAAUAUCUGAGGACGAUCGCGCGCGGACAUCGAGGGAGCAACUUCGGCUGUGACAGUCUUUCUGUACUUCCUUCAUUCGAAAUUCGAACUCGAAAGUAGGGGGACUGGUGUUGGGUAUAAAAUACCCUCAGCCGAAGUUCUUAACAGGAUUGACCCUCCCGAGACUCCUCCGGCUGUCG
RNAcentral lists this long non-coding RNA (655 nucleotides) under Elaeis guineensis (African oil palm). Its description in RNAcentral is "long non-coding RNA (EGUI_LNC019435)". Lineage: Eukaryota; Viridiplantae; Streptophyta; Magnoliopsida; Arecales; Arecaceae. The record is from RNAcentral.